Long non-coding RNA from Tyto alba (common barn owl), 936 nucleotides. RefSeq lists it as uncharacterized. Lineage: Eukaryota; Metazoa; Chordata; Aves; Strigiformes; Tytonidae. The transcript is spliced from 3 exons. The record is from RefSeq and is a predicted model, not a curated record.
GAGACAGCGCUUCGGUCACCCCCUUCCUUCCCUUCCCACGCGAGAUUUCUCCACAGCGCGGGCCGCCGCAGCCCGCCCUCAGGGGACGACUCCCACCCCACCCCCGCCGCCCGCCUCGCGCCGAGGCCCCUCGGACCCAGCGGCCGCCCCUCGGCCGAGGAGGAGGCGGCGGCGCGCAGGCCCGCGGCCCGCCGGGAGCUCCCCUGGGCGGCGGGAGGGAGCUGCCCCCCUUACCUUGGAGCAGCCCUCAUAUAUGUGAGCGAGCUUGUUGCACAGCCGUGAGGUUGAACUGGAGCGACUGCGGGGGCACAGUGCAGUCCAGGAGGGACCCGCCUGCUGCUGGCGCUGGAACCACACCUCGCACAGCUGCCACAGUGCACACGCACUGUACGUCCUUCCCUGAUUGCAGCUGGUGUCAUCGUGCAGUGCAAACCUUCCCUAACCAAAGCCAAAGGGAGAGAGGGAAGAGAACACAACCUCAAAAAUGGUAAGCUAUGUCCCAAAAGAGAUGGAGGUGGUAUCUUAAAAUCACUGUGAGUAGUAAGAACUCUCACUUGACCCCAAAAUGUAACUGGAAGGAGUCAGAGGAUGGACCAACUUUUCUCACUUUACGAAUGAUGUAUGAAUGAAGAGGCACUAACCAGAUGGUUUCUCAAGAAAACAUUAAAUAGAUAACUACCUUGCGAAUGAAUGAGAGAAAAACAGGAUGAGCCCACCAUCGUCCUUGAGAUAAGGAAGGAACUACUGAGCCACCAAGAUAAAGGAGCUGCAAGUUAGCAACAAACUGUAUCCAACAAGGCCUGAAGGACGAGAUGUGUGUAACUACAGAACUGAGUCUGUGCAAAAGCAAGGGUCAACUAGCAAACACAGUGAAGAAGACUACGAGCCUUCAUCAGAACAGCCCUGCCCACGACCACCAAGAGACAUUGCGCAGGC